This 534-nucleotide ribosomal RNA is filed under the name uncultured bacterium. RNAcentral's name for it is "bacterial SSU rRNA". It matches the Rfam family "Bacterial small subunit ribosomal RNA", at positions 772 to 1304 of the family's 1533-position model. The record is from RNAcentral.
ACUAAAUAGAUACCCUGGUAGUCCACGCCCUAAACGAUGUCUACUAGUUGUUGGUGGAGUAAAAUCCAUGAGUAAACGCAGCUAAACGCGUGAAGUAGACCGCCUGGGGAGUACGGUCGCAAGAUUAAAACUCAAAGGAAUUGACGGGGGCCCGCACAAGCGGUGGAUUAUGUGGAUUAAAUUCGAUGCAACGCGAAAAACCUUACCUGGCCUUGACAUGCCACUAACGAAGCAGAGAUGCAUUAGGUGCCCGUAAGGGAAAGUGGACACAGGUGCUGCAUGGCUGUCGUCAGCCCGUGUCGUGAGAUGUUGGGUUAAGUCCCGCAACGAGCGCAACCCUUGCCAUUAAUUGCCAUCAUUUAGUUGGGCACUUUAAUGGGACUGCCGGUGACAAACCGGAGGAAGUGGGGAUGACGUCAAGUCCUCAUGGCCCUUAUGGCCAGGGCUUCACACGUAAUACAAUGGUCGGUACAGAGAGUUGCCAACCCGCAGGGGAGCUAAUCUCAGAAAGCCGAUCGUAGUCCGGAUUGUUCU